Molecule: ribosomal RNA, 466 nt
Filed under: Lethops connectens
Lineage: Eukaryota; Metazoa; Chordata; Actinopteri; Gobiiformes; Gobiidae
Description: partial 12S ribosomal RNA
Rfam family: Bacterial small subunit ribosomal RNA
Source: RNAcentral
CUUGCCAGGGAACUACGAGCCCCAGCUUAAAACCCAAAGGACUUGGCGGUGCUUUAGUCCCCCCUAGAGGAGCCUGUUCUAGAACCGAUAACCCCCGUUAAACCUCACCCUUUCUUGUUAAUCCCGCCUAUAUACCGCCGUCGUCAGCUUACCCUGUGAAGGUCUUACAGUGAGCUCAAUUGGUAUAACCUAAAACGUCAGGUCGAGGUGUAGCGUACGAGAGGGGAAGAAAUGGGCUACAUUCACUGACUCAGUGUACACGAACAAUAUCUUGAAAGAAAUAUUCAAAGGAGGAUUUAGCAGUAAGGGGAGAAUAGAGUGCUUCCCUGAAACCGGCCCUGAAGCGCGCACACACCGCCCGUCACUCUCCCCAAAAAUAAACUUAAAAGUAUUUAAAACAAUUUUAAAAUAAAGGGGAGGCAAGUCGUAACAUGGUAAGUGUACCGGAAGGUGCGCUUGGAAAAAU